GCGGCAACUGAUUUUGUAGGAGUUCAACUCCACGUACAACAGUAAAUAAUACAUGUAUCUCUUCGUUAAAGUAUUCACCACAGCAUAGCAUUCUCUGAUUUUCAAUAUUUGAUCAGUCGAAUAAGAAAAUUGCGAUUUAGAAAUGUACAUACCUUUCGAAGUGGUGACAAUUGCUCCACUCAAGCACAACCGGAAAAUCCUC
This 202-nucleotide long non-coding RNA is filed under the name Mytilus galloprovincialis (Mediterranean mussel). Lineage: Eukaryota; Metazoa; Mollusca; Bivalvia; Mytilida; Mytilidae. The record is from RNAcentral.